This 416-nucleotide unclassified non-coding RNA is filed under the name plant metagenome. RNAcentral's name for it is "partial contains 5.8S ribosomal RNA, internal transcribed spacer 2, and large subunit ribosomal RNA". The stretch from base 1 to 105 matches the Rfam family "5.8S ribosomal RNA", at positions 50 to 154 of the family's 154-position model. The record is from RNAcentral.
GAAGUGCGAUAAGCAAUGCGAAUUGCAGAAUUCCGCGAGUCAUCAGAUCUUUGAACACAUAUGGCGCCGGAGGGAUAUCCUUCUGGCAUGUCUGUUUCAGUGUCUGAGAGGUUUCACCAACAUCUUAAUGUGAUUGACAGCAGCAGCAGCAGCAAGCAAUUGUUGUGGUUGGUGUUGUCUCUCAUGAAAGAUGUGCGAGUGGAUCUUUCGGUCCAAUGAAGUGGUCACAUCACUCGUAUGUGAUUUCAUUGGGAGCACCGAAUUAUCCGCCAUGCUCGCGGUGUCAUCAUAUAAUAUAUGACGAAAGCAAGAAAGAAAGAAAGAGCUUCUUUCUUCUUCUUCUUCUUUGGUUGUAUUUUUUUUCUCUCUCUACACCCUGCAUCUGAGAUAGGCAAGAUCACCCGCUGAACUUAAGC